This 581-nucleotide ribosomal RNA is filed under the name Pectinaria gouldii. RNAcentral describes it as "partial 16S ribosomal RNA". It matches the Rfam family "Bacterial large subunit ribosomal RNA", at positions 1796 to 2619 of the family's 2925-position model. Lineage: Eukaryota; Metazoa; Annelida; Polychaeta; Terebellida; Pectinariidae. The record is from RNAcentral.
UCGCCUGUUUAUCAAAAACAUUGCCUCCUGAAAAUUAUAGAAGGUACAUCCUGCCCGGUGACCCAAGGGUUUAACGGCCGCGGUACUCUGACCGUGCUAAGGUAGCGUGAUAAUUCGCCCUUUAAUUGUGGGCUUGUAUGAACGGACAAACGAGAGCCAAACUGUCUCUCAGGUAUUUAUAAAAAUUGGCCUUCAGGUGAAAAGACCUGGAUUAAAUCAUAGGACAAGAAGACCCCGUAGAGCUUGGUCUCUCUAUAUUAUAGAGAAAAGUAUUAUACCUAUUCCCUAUAUUUAAACGAGAGACUCAGCUGGGGCGGCUGAGGAAAAUUUUAAUCUUCCAUCUUAAACACAUCUUUAAAUAGAGCAAUAAGGCAUCCCGCCUAACCUAAACUGACCCUUCAGGAUCAGAGAAAAUAGCUACCUCGGGGAUAACAGAUUAAUCCUUCUUGAGAGUUCUUAUUGACAGAAGGGCUUGACACCUCGAUGUUGGCUUAGGGUAUCCUGGGGGUUGCAGAAGCUUCCAAGGGUAGGUUUGUUCAACCUUUAAAACCCCUACGUGAUCUGAUCUGAGUUCAGACCGG